UGAGGAAUAUUGGUCAAUGGGCGAGAGCCUGAACCAGCCAAGUAGCGUGCAGGAUGACGGCCCUAUGGGUUGUAAACUGCUUUUAUGUGGGGAUAAAGUGAGCUACGUGUAGUUUAUUGCAGGUACCACAUGAAUAAGGACCGGCUAAUUCCGUGCCAGCAGCCGCGGUAAUACGGAAGGUCCAGGCGUUAUCCGGAUUUAUUGGGUUUAAAGGGAGCGUAGGCCGUGGAUUAAGCGUGUUGUGAAAUGUAGACGCUCAACGUCUGAAUUGCAGCGCGAACUGGUUCACUUGAGUAUGCACAACGUAGGCGGAAUUCGUCGUGUAGCGGUGAAAUGCUUAGAUAUGACGAAGAACUCCGAUUGCGAAGGCAGCUUACGGGAGCACAACUGACGCUGAAGCUCGAAGGUGCGGGUAUCAAACAGGAUUAGAUACCCUGGUAGUCCGCACAGUAAACGAUGGAUGCCCGUUGUUAGUUCACUUUAGAAUUAGCGACCAAGCGAAAGCAUUAAGCAUCCCACCUGGGGAGUACGCCGGCAACGGUG
Molecule: ribosomal RNA, 543 nt
Filed under: uncultured bacterium
Lineage: Bacteria
Description: bacterial SSU rRNA
Rfam family: Bacterial small subunit ribosomal RNA
Source: RNAcentral